Molecule: ribosomal RNA, 301 nt
Filed under: uncultured bacterium
Lineage: Bacteria
Description: partial 16S ribosomal RNA
Rfam family: Bacterial small subunit ribosomal RNA
Source: RNAcentral
CAGCAGCCGCGGGAAUACGUAGGUGGCAAGCGUUGUCCGGAAUUAUUGGGCGUAAAGGGCUCGCAGGCGGUUUCUUAAGUCUGAUGUGAAAGCCCCCGGCUCAACCGGGGAGGGUCAUUGGAAACUGGGAAACUUGAGUGCAGAAGAAGAGAGUGGAAUUCCAUGUGUAGCGGUGAAAUGCGUAGAUAUAUGGAGGAACACCAGUGGCGAAGGCGACUCUCUGGUCUGUAACUGACGCUGAGGCGCGAAAGCGUGGGGAGCAAACAGGAUUAGAUACCCCAGUAGUCCCUGUCUCUUAUAC